AUGCCCCUCUCUCUCUCCACAUCCCCCUCUCUCUCUCCACAUCCCCCUCUCUCUCUCCACAUCCCCCUCUCUCUCUCUUCAUGCCCCUCUCUCUCUCCACACCCCCUCUCUCUCUCCACACCCCUCUCUCUCUCCACAUCCCCCUCUCUCCUCCUCCACAUCCCCUCUCUCUCUCCACAUCCCCCUCUCUCUCUCCACAUCCCCCUCUCUCUCUCCACAUCCCCCUCUCUCUCUCCUCAUCCCCUCACUCUCUCCUUAUCUUUCUCUCUCCUCACCCCACCCUCUCUCUCCUCAAUCGCUCUCCUCCUCAUUCUUUCUCAAAUUAUAUCCCCCUAUCUCUCCUCUCCUCAUCCCCCUCUCUCUCUCUCCUCAUCCCCCUCUCCUCUCCUCAUCCCUCUCUCUCUCUCUCCUCACCUCUCUCUCCUCAUCUCUCUCUCUCCUCUCUCUCCUCGUCUCCUCCUCAUCUCUCCAUCUCUCUCUCUCAUCUCUCGCUCAUCCUCAUCUCUCGCUCUCUCUCCUCUCCCUCAUCUCUCUCUCCUCAUCUCUCUCUCUCCUCAUCUCUCUCUCUCCUCUCAAUCUCCUCUCUCCUCAUCCCCCCCUCUCUCUCUCCUCAUCCCCCUCUCCUCUCUCUCCACAUCCCCCUCUCUCUCUUCCACAUCCCCCCCCCCUCUCUCUCCUCAUCCCUCCUCUCUCUUCCCUAUCUCUCGCUCUCUCCCUCCUCAUCCUCUCAUCUCCUGCAUCCUCAUCCCCUCUCCUCAUCUCAUCCCUCGCUCUCCCUCUCUCAUCUCUCUCUCUCUCCUCAUCCCUCUCUCUCUCUCUCUCCUCAUCCCUCUCUCUCUCUCUCUCCUCAUCCCUCUCUCUCUCCUCCUCAUCCCUCUCUCUCUCUUCCUCAUCCCACUCUCUCUCUCUCNCCCCCCCUCUCUCUCCUCAUCCCCUCUCUCUCUCCACACCCCCUCUCCUCUCUCCACAGUCAUCCCCUCCUCUACUUCUCUCCACAACCAUCUCUCACCCUCUCUCUCUCCGCCAAUCCCCUCCUCUCUCCUCCACAUCCCCUCUCGGUGUCUCUCCACAAGUCCCCUCGCUCUCCUCUCGCUCCUCACCCCCGUCUCUCUCUCCUCAUCCCUCUCUCUCUCUCCUUAUCUCUCUCCUCCUCACCCCCAUCUCUCUCCUCAAUCUCGUCUAUCUCUCUCAUCUCUCUCACUCCUCACUACUCUCUCCGUCAUCCCCCCCUCUCUCUCCUCAUCCCACCCCCCCUCAUCUCUCCAUCCCCCACCUCUCUCUCUCCUCCCCCCCCCAUCUCUCUCUCCUCAUCCCCCCCUCUCUCUCCUCAUCCCCCCCCUCUCUCUCCUCAUCCCCUCUCUCUCCACACCCCCAUCUCUCUCUCCACAUCCCCCUCUCUCUCUCUCCACACCCCUCUCUCUCUCUCCACAUCCCCCUCUCUCUCUCCACAUCCCCCUCUCUCUCUCCACAUCCCCCUCUCUCUCUCCUCAUCCCCCUCUCUCUCUACACCCCCUCUCUCUCUACACCUCCUCUCUCUCUCCUCAUCCCCUCAACAGCAACUACAUCAACAAUAUUAAUGAGAAUAAUAAUACAUUAAAGCAAUAG
Molecule: long non-coding RNA, 1605 nt
Filed under: Oncorhynchus kisutch (coho salmon)
Lineage: Eukaryota; Metazoa; Chordata; Actinopteri; Salmoniformes; Salmonidae
Description: lncRNA (ENSOKIG00005007253.1)
Source: RNAcentral